GACGAACGCUGGCGGCGUGCUUAACACAUGCAAGUCGAGCGGUAAGGCCCUUUCGGGGGUACACGAGCGGCGAACGGGUGAGUAACACGUGGGUGACCUGCCCUUAGCUCUGGGAUAAGCCUGGGAAACUGGGUCUAAUACCGGAUAUGACUCCAUGACGCAUGUUGUGGGGUGGAAAGCCUUGUGCGGCUAGGGAUGGGCCUGCGGCCUAUCAGCUUGUUGGUGGGGUGAUGGCCUACCAAGGCGACGACGGGUAGCCGGCCUGAGAGGGCGACCAGCCACACUGGGACUGAGACACGGCCCAGACUCCUACGGGAGGCAGCAGUGGGGAAUCUUGCGCAAUGGGCGAAAGCCUGACGCAGCGACGCCGCGUGGGGAUGACGGCCU
This 387-nucleotide ribosomal RNA is filed under the name uncultured bacterium. RNAcentral describes it as "bacterial SSU rRNA". It matches the Rfam family "Bacterial small subunit ribosomal RNA", at positions 28 to 417 of the family's 1533-position model. The record is from RNAcentral.